RNAcentral lists this ribosomal RNA (254 nucleotides) under uncultured bacterium. Its description in RNAcentral is "partial 16S ribosomal RNA". It matches the Rfam family "Bacterial small subunit ribosomal RNA", at positions 524 to 776 of the family's 1533-position model. The record is from RNAcentral.
UACGGAGGGAGCUAGCGUUGUUCGGAAUUACUGGGCGUAAAGCGCACGUAGGCGGCUUUUUUAAGUCAGGGGUGAAAUCCCGGAGCUCAACUCCGGAACUGCCCUUGAAACUGCAGUGCUAGAAUCUUGGAGAGGCGAGUGGAAUUCCGAGUGUAGAGGUGAAAUUCGUAGAUAUUCGGAAGAACACCAGUGGCGAAGGCGACUCGCUGGACAAGUAUUGACGCUGAGGUGCGAAAGCGUGGGGAGCAAACAGG